Molecule: long non-coding RNA, 287 nt
Organism: Mauremys reevesii (Reeves's turtle)
Lineage: Eukaryota; Metazoa; Chordata; Testudines; Geoemydidae
Exons: 3
Source: RefSeq, a predicted model, not a curated record
AGUAACCAUUGCUGGUUUUCUUGGGCUACUGGUCUGGAAAGCAACCCCAGAGCUCCAAAGAAACAUUCCCUUAAGAAUAUCUUCCGGAUACUUCCAGAAACUGAAUCAGGAAUGGGAAUCCUUUCAUCCUGUAUUUGUCAGUCUAUCUGUCCUUACAGUGCCUGUGCACCAUUGUCUUCUAACAGAUGGAAUGUCUAGCCCGAUGAUCGGGACCAACUCCCACUCCCCCAAGCCCUGUUUGCCAGUCCAGAGCUACGGCACCCGCCUUCCAUGCAACAUUGAAGAGG